UGACAACUCCACCCGAUGAGUUUAUUAGCUUGACUGACUUCACGAGCUGCGAAAGAUGCUUGUUUCUGUCGGCUCGAUGAGUGAAGAAACCAGCUGGCUGUACCGACUCUGAUAGCGUGUCUCGAGUGAGCCGUGUUUCCGUGAAGCAAAGAAUGUUACAGUCUCUUAUGUCUCUCUGGAAUGCUACCCUUGCUCGGAUUUCAUCAAUCUUGUUGUCAAGAGACUGGACAUUGGCGAGUAGUAUGGUAGGGAGUGGUGUGCGAUGUGCCUGUCUCCAGAGCCUGACCAGAAGACCGCUUCGUCUGCCCCUUUUACUGCGACGUUGUUUUGGUUCGCUGGCUGGGAUCCCAUCCAUUGUCCUGGGUGGUGGGCAAAACACAGGAUCUGCUUCGGGAAAGUCGUAUUCCUGGUCGUAAUGAUGGUG
Oncorhynchus tshawytscha (Chinook salmon) is the source of this 424-nucleotide long non-coding RNA. The record is from Ensembl. Lineage: Eukaryota; Metazoa; Chordata; Actinopteri; Salmoniformes; Salmonidae.